Molecule: ribosomal RNA, 363 nt
Filed under: Triticum aestivum (bread wheat)
Lineage: Eukaryota; Viridiplantae; Streptophyta; Magnoliopsida; Poales; Poaceae
Description: partial small subunit ribosomal RNA
Source: RNAcentral
AUGGACGGAUCCACCAUCAAUCGACUCGCCGACAUGGCCGUGUUCCUCCUCUUCCUCCUCAUACUUGUUCUGUCCGUCAGCCACAUCAUACACGGAGACGGGUCAGGAGCAGUUGCUGCCCCCAGCCUCGUCAUCGUGACGCUGCGGGGUCACGGCCCCGACGACAAGACCUCCGUGGCCGUGCAGAGACACGACCUUUCCUUCGCCGGCUUCACCAACGGGAGAGGCCAUUGGCAGGCCUUCCCAGGCUGCGAGCACCUCUUCCCUGCGUCCACGACCCUCCCGUUCGGCAACAGCUACAGCGAGCUCAUCGGCGGGAUUUUUUGUCCAAAAGGACCCCCUGGCCAACAGAGUUAUGGGUGA